UACAGAGGGGGCGAGCGUUGUUCGGAAUUACUGGGCGUAAAGGGCGCGUAGGUGGCCUUCUAAGUUGAACGUGAAAUCCCUCGGCUUAACCGAGGAACUGCCUCCCAAACUGCUUGGCUUGAGACCGGGAGAGGUGAGUGGAAUUCCCAGUGUAGCGGUGAAAUGCGUAGAUAUUGGGAGGAACACCAGUGGCGAAGGCGGCUCACUGGACCGGUACUGACGCUGAUGCGCGAAAGCGUGGGGAGCAAACAGG
This 253-nucleotide ribosomal RNA is filed under the name uncultured bacterium. RNAcentral's name for it is "partial 16S ribosomal RNA". It matches the Rfam family "Bacterial small subunit ribosomal RNA", at positions 524 to 776 of the family's 1533-position model. The record is from RNAcentral.